Molecule: non-coding RNA, 97 nt
Organism: Acanthosepion pharaonis
Lineage: Eukaryota; Metazoa; Mollusca; Cephalopoda; Sepiida; Sepiidae
Source: the annotation of a GenBank genome assembly
GUGCAAACACCAACUCCCGUACGAUCACCGGAGUUAAGCAACGUCGAACCUGGUCAGUACUUAGAUGCGCAACAGCUUGGGAAUACCAGCUGUAGUA